AUGUCUUUGCUUCUUGUUAGAGCAAAAGCCUUACCCUUUCCUGUAGGAGGAAGAGACUGGAAUAUCACAAAACCCGUAGAACUCAGAAUAAAUAGAAAAAAUGGCUCCUUCAAGUGUCGGGAUCAUCAUCUGAAAGACUGGCAGUCCUGAUCAUGCAAUCGCCAUGUAUUUUUCAGGCAUCUAACAGUUAGUGGCUUUUCAAAAAAUGUGUUAUUUAGUUCCAUUUCUGACUCAUGGAUUUUGAUUGCUUAUUGUUAGUCAGAGCCUCAUUUCAUUCAACUGAAUGUCAAAAAUAAAAUAAACAGAAUGGGUUUAUUUGCUCCUCUUCAGUUUCAUUCCAUGAAAUUAAAUAAUAUCAUCUGAAGCCAAUCUACUUUUGAAGGGACACUUUCAGACGAAUGUUUUUGGAUGUACUUGUUUCUUUUAAAAUAGCUUCUUAAACAACCACUUCAAGCUUUUAUGUUUUACUUACAGGUGUUUUAAUUUUUUUAAUAAUGAAGACAUUAACUUUGAUGUGCAGUUGUGAUUUUUAUCUGUAUCUAGAGCUUUUUCACUUGAAUUUUAAUGGGCCUUAAUAUUUAUUUUUG
RNAcentral lists this long non-coding RNA (587 nucleotides) under Mustela putorius furo (domestic ferret). Its description in RNAcentral is "lncRNA (ENSMPUG00000028520.1)". The record is from RNAcentral. Lineage: Eukaryota; Metazoa; Chordata; Mammalia; Carnivora; Mustelidae.